Long non-coding RNA from Mytilus californianus (California mussel), 4984 nucleotides. RefSeq lists it as uncharacterized. Lineage: Eukaryota; Metazoa; Mollusca; Bivalvia; Mytilida; Mytilidae. The record is from RefSeq and is a predicted model, not a curated record. The transcript is spliced from 2 exons.
UCAUCCCAAGUCCGAAUGGGAUAACUAUUUUACAGCCCAGCUGUUCUACAUUAGUUCAAAAGACCAUUUACAUUUUAUAAAAUCUAGUUUAGAACACCACACAUUCCUUUUUAUAUACUUUAUAUAUCAUUAUAUAGAAUAUACCUUUAAUGAGUCCCGGACACAAUGUUCCAGUAUGUUAAAUUAACAGUGAUUUCGUAUCCAGUUGUCCUGGUGUAGGGGUUUGAGUUGUGGGUUGAUACGCUAAAGGUCUUGAGUUCGAAGCCCAGCUUAGACACUAUAUGUUUUCUACAUAAAUUUUGAUUGUUAAUCUUUUCCGUAUAAAUGUAUUUAUUAAAGUUGAGCACGAACGUGUUUCUAUUAUGUGAACAAUCACACGUGAGUGUGUGUCCGCAUAGUGGUCAUCUAUUGGUGUUUAUAUUAGAUAAACAGGUUUGUGUUUUAAAUAUAUGAUAUUCCGGAUUGGUCAAUAUUUGUCGCAUUGCGUAAAUAUAUUGAGUAUGAUAUUUAAUAUGUAAAUAGCACGGGAUUUUUAAAGCGCGAAUAGUUUUCUUGUUAAAGUAUGUUAAGAUAUAUUGUCAUUCGAAGCUCGUAAACCGUUCAGUAAAGUGCAGUUUAGUUUAGGUAAAGACAUUUCCGAACCAGUCCUCGAGUUGAAUGAAGACGAUUUGUUAAGAGACCCCUUGCAUAGCAGUCCGAACGUCAUAACGUUUCAAAUUUACAAGCAAGUCAACAAAACCGUGACUUAGUAGACACUUUUGGGCUUUUCAAAGAUUAUUUAGAUAAAAAACUCGUUGAUUUAAAGUCCGACAUUCCUACAGUUUUUCAAAGAAAUAUAAAAAGAUAUGAAAGAGAUGAGGCUAAUAUUAAGUUUGAAUCAGAAGGGAAUCGGAUUCAGUUUCGUUUUAACGAGAGUAUUAUGGAUGGUCUUAACAAAAUCCACAAGGAUCUUGUAUCUGUUGCUUCCCCCCUUUCGUCUAUUACCGAUGAUUUGGUGGGUAAACUCAAAGAAAGAAAUAAACCCAUCAGGAUUGCUGAUAACUCCACUGGGGGAUGGGUUACUGUUAAAGAAUACGAGAUUAAUGAUAUCGCUGACAAUGAUGAAGACGAGAAAAAUAUUCGUCAGGCCGAGACUAUGGCCCUUAAAACUAUCAAUGAGAAAAAGAUCCGCCCUCAGCCGUAUACAGCUAGUCCAACUCCAGCAGUUGAACGUAUCGCUACUGCCCCUGCUCCUCCUCCAGCUUACGAUUUCAGUCGGUAUCAACAGCCCUUUCGUACCAGCACCGCACGGCGUGAGCCGUGCUCCAUGGACAUCUGUCACUACUGUUAGCAGUAUGGUCACUGGAGAAGAAACUGUCCACUCAACUUCAAGUCAGCCACAGCUUCUGCACCAAGUUACCAGCCAUCCAAACAGCAAUGACCCAGUUACUGUCAAUGAUAAGUAUCUACAGAUUUAUGUUUUAUUUUUAUCUUCUAGCUAUGAAAGCAAUUAUGACGAACUAGUCGAAUUUAUGUCGCAAGUUAAUUUUUUUGAAAAGUUAGAUUUUUCUGCUAGUCAUAACUUUAAUGUUGUUAAAGGCAGGUUUGCAAAGCAUUACAGAUGCUAGUUAUGUAGCAUGUUGGGUUUAUACUGUAGAAUUAGAAAAUAAGAUUUUUCACAAAAUUUGGAACGAAUUUGAAAGAUGUAAAAGCUCCACCUGGAAAAAGAUGAGAGUAAUUGAACAGGCCUAAUUGUCGUUUUAUUAUGGGCUACAUUUUGAAAUGGUUUACUGAUAACCAAAACUGUGUACGUAAAGUACAAGCUGGAAGCAUGGAGGAAGAUUAACAAAAUCUUGCCUAUUCUUUUUUUUUGUAUUUGUAAAGAGCAGAAUAUAUUCAUUGAAUUACAAUAGAUUCCUCGCACAUUGAAUUGAAAGGCAGAUUAUAUUAGUAAAAUGAGUGAUCAUGAGGAUUGGCAAAUUUGAAAUGAAUUUUUUAAAUUUUUUGAAAGUUUAUGGGGACCUUUUACUAUUGACAGGUUCGCUAGCGUGAUGAAUAACGAGACAAAAAGGUUCAUUUGUUUGUUUGAAUUGUUUUACAUUUGUCAUUUCGGGGCCUAUUAGAGCUGAAUAUGCGGUAUGAGCUUUGCUCAUUGUUCAAGGCCCUACAGUGACCUAUAUAGUUUUUCAAUUUCUGUGUCAAUUGGUCUCUUGUGGAGAGUUGUCUCAUUAGCAACCAUACCAAUGCAAAUUUUUUCUGCAUGUUUUUAUUCAUAAAGACAACAAAAAAGGUUUAAUAUUCAUUCGGAAAUUAUUGUUAAAGUGUAUUCGAUACAGUUACCACAAAAAUCAACAAUAUAGAAGCCUAGAAUCUUUGAUUGGUUUUGCACCAGUUAGUCAAUAUUGAAUUUACUUUCAAGUAUUCAUUGUUUCUAUAAAUAUUAAAACGAUUUAGUUUUGAGCUUUUUUCAGGCAUCUUUAAAGUUGUGAUCCUAGAUAUUUUAACAAUGUAUAUUUUGUGUUGUUAGAGGAACCUGUUUUUAGAAUAGUGAAUGAAACGGGCAGAUUCCCAACUAAAUUAUCAAAAGUACAUUCGUUAUUGGUCUCUAAAUGUGUUUAGUUAAGUUUGGGGGUUAAGCUUCUCUUCUGGGUGUGAGCGAAGCUCGAAUCCCCAUAUGGAAUUACCUGACCCCAUAUGUUUCGGUUUAGGUCACUUGCACACUAUGCAACGAAUUUAUCUUACCGACUAUCUUAACAUGUGGUAUUAAUUUAGAAUAGUGGCAUAUAAACGUGAUCAAGUCUUCAAUAUCGUUAGUAUUAGGAACCUACUUCCAUUGGUCUAUACAUGCUAUACAAAAACAAAUGGCAACAAUUUCAACUUGUAAGCUUAAGAUGUGUUUUUUGAAUUUAUUUCAAUCGUUCAUUAUCAAUUUCGUCGUCUGUUGAAACCUUAAAUAUUUUUUCUGAACACCGUGUUGUUUGUAUAAAUGGAUAUAACACCACUACUAACAGUGUAUUGAAAUAAGCCCCGCCUACUAAUAUAAUAUGGAAUAUACACGGUUUCCACGCGGUUGCUUUUAGCCAAUCAUAUUCCUAGAAAUGUAUAGGAGGUAAGAUAAAUUACGUUAUAUCCUCGUCAUAUGGUCUCCAGUUGGUCGACCUUAAUAUAUCUUCGUAUUUUAAUAUCGACACCUCUUACAUUGAACCAACAUCAUGUAGUCAAUAUAUUUGCGUGUAUACAGUCUCUUUCAAGAACAACAUUUGUCUGUUACCAGUGUUAUUUUAUUUUCUAUAAUGUAUUGUAAAUUUUGAUAAAUAACUAGCUGAUGAUGUUCGGAAUCAUAAAUUUAGCAGUAAAAAGAUCGAAACUCUCUUAAACAAAGUCGAUCUAAGAUUGUAUAGUCUUUUUGGCUUAGUAACCUUUAAAUAUAAUUUAACAAUUAAAUUACCGCGUAUAUUUCCCGCUUUUAGUCCAAUAUUUUUUUGGCAGUUGGUAGAUGAUACACAUUCAAAGCAGUAGAUAUUUUUACUUUGAUGUCAGUCUUAUAAAAUCUGUAUUAUGUGCCCUAGUGUCACGAAAAAAACAAACAUCAAUUUUAGAUUUUUAUCAUAUCAAUUGUAUGUCACUACAAUGAUGUAAUUUAAAUGUAUGUUUCGACAAAAAGGCUUCUUGAAAAGAAACUACUUACUUUACUUUCAUAGCAGAUACUCUAAUAGGAUUUAAAACCGGGUUUAACCCACCAUUUUCUGCGAAAAAUGUCUGUACCAAGUCAAAAAUAUGACUGUUGUUUUCAUUCUUUUUGUUGGUUAAUAAAAUCUAACGUUUGAUUUUCUCAGUUUUUAUGGACUUCCCCAGUUUUUAUUUUAUCUUGGAGUCAGGUAUUUUUGAUAAUACUUUUUAAACGAUCAUCAAAAAACGAUGAUCAGCUAUAUGUAUUUACUAUCAGUUUCUAUACGAUGCUCUCAUUUAAAAGCAUCAAAAUUAAGAAAAAACCGAAAAUCUAUUAUCAAACAAUGUUGAUGUCAUUUGUCCCCAGGAAUUGAUUUUCAAGAUCAAAAAGUACCAAAACACAAUUGUACUUUUGAUGACGUUUGAAGUAAAUCUGUCGGAAAUUGCUUUUAAUUUCUCACAACAAAUCACCGUCCUCUCUAAUUGUCAGAUAAACCAUACGAAGUAGACAGGGAAAACAUUGAUCAACAUGUAUAUGAAGCAGAACUAGGGAAAUCAUGUGACGUCUCAAUUAAAAUUUCAAGUUUCCAGAAGCCAUAAACUUCAUGGUCAACAAACGCCAGCGGAAAAUUUGGUGUAUUAAAUGCAGAAAAAGACUCGGAAGAAAUAUUCACAUUGUUUUCGACAAUUGUUCCAGAAAUUAGCAGUCAUUUAGGAAGAUAUAACUUUGUAGUAAGGAAAAAUUUAGGAAGUCUUAAACAUUAUAUUGAAUUGAAAUGUUUAUAUUCCUUUGAAAUACUUAAAUCCAAGUGAUUUUGCCAGGAGUGCAGACGCGCUUAUUGACAUCUUGCAUCAUGGCCGAUAAACAAUCCCGGCAUGCAACAACCAAGCAAGUAAAAAUGUGGGGACCAUCUACGGGUCAAAUAUUGUAGAUUAGAGACGAUAAAUUAAUCAAAAUGUUGUUUUUGAUGUAGUUAGAUUAAAAAUAGCGUAUUAAUAUUGAUAUAAUAAAGAAAAUAAAGAGCAAUAUUGAUUCUUCAAUUGAAAAUCUAUACAUGAUAUUGAUUGAACUUUUGUUUUUGAUGUGUUUAGAUGAAGAAUGUAACAAUAGUGAUUGAAUUAAGAAAAUAAUGAACUUAUUCAGCCUUUCGCAUAAACACUUUAGUAUUAAUUAUGUUUUUAAAAGAAAAGGAAAAAUGGAACGUUAAUUCAAUUUCUAAAAGUUGCAAUAAGAAUUCAUUUCAAAGUUGUUUUAUUUAUUUCCAUGAGUGUAUGUGAUUGUAUGUAUCUUGUUUCACAUGUGACGGAGUGUUUUUAAAUAAAGCAUAAUGUAUUG